AUUGAACGCUGGCGGCAGGCCUAACACAUGCAAGUCGAACGAGUGGCGGACGGGUGAGUAAUGUCUGGGAAACUGCCCGAUGGAGGGGGAUAACUACUGGAAACGGUAGCUAAUACCGCAUACCAUCGGAUGUGCCCAGAUGGGAUUAGGUUGUAGGUGAGGUAACGGCUCACCUAGGCGACGCUCCCUAGCUGGUCUGAGAUAAUGACCAGUCACAUGGGAACAUAUACACUGUCCAGACUCCUCCGGUAGGCAGCGUGGGGGUAUAUGGGACAAGGGGCGCAAGCCUGAUGCAGCCAUGCCUGGGUGAGGAAGAAGGCCUUCGGGUUGUAAAGUACUUUCAGCGGGGAGGGGUGAACCGCAGAAGAAUCACCGGCUAUCUCCGUGCCAGCAGACGCGGUAAUUC
RNAcentral lists this ribosomal RNA (406 nucleotides) under uncultured bacterium. RNAcentral's name for it is "partial 16S ribosomal RNA". It matches the Rfam family "Bacterial small subunit ribosomal RNA", at positions 30 to 526 of the family's 1533-position model. The record is from RNAcentral.